RNAcentral lists this ribosomal RNA (324 nucleotides) under Triticum aestivum (bread wheat). Its description in RNAcentral is "partial small subunit ribosomal RNA". The record is from RNAcentral. Lineage: Eukaryota; Viridiplantae; Streptophyta; Magnoliopsida; Poales; Poaceae.
AUGAACCGAGGCUUCUCACCGCCCGUCUCUAAGUUCUUCAGGGACAUUCUGCACUUUUUCGACCUGUAUCCUCAAGACAUCGGACCCAAUUCCGUGUCUAAUAUAUGCAAUUUUCAAGUAUUCUGCGAAGUCCAUCUUCAAGAGGAGCCCACUACGGAAUUAUUCAGAGAGUACUUCUAUUUAAACCGCCAGAAUGAGUAUUCCAACGGACCCAGUUUGGAACUUGGUGGGAUCUCAAUCCAACGACGGAGAGAUUCUAUUUUCCCGUAUGCACACCUGCCGAGUCACCCCAAAAGACUGGAAUUAGACAUUGUUCUACUGUAA